GUAAGAUCUGAAACUAUAAGAACUAUAGAAGAAAACCUAAGAAAAACUCUUUUUCUUUAAAGAGAUGGAGUCUCUCUCUCACACCCAGGCUGAAGUGCAGUGGCACAAACAUGGUUCACUGCAACCUCAACUCCCUGGACUCAAGCGAUUAUCUUGCCUCAGCCUCUUGAAGACAUAAUCAACAGAGUAAGUAGACCACCUGCAGAAUGGGAGAAAAUAUUGGCUAACCAUGAAUCCAACAAAGGACUAAUAUCUAGAACCCAUAGAGAACUCAAACAAUUCAACAAGUAAAAAACAAAUAACCUCAUUAAAAAGUGGACAAAGGACACGAACAGUUUUCAAAAGAAGACACAUAAAUAGCCAAUAAGCAUAUUUUAAAAAUGCUCAGCAUCACUAAUCUAGAAAUGUGAAUUGGUACAACUUAUAUGGCAAACAGGAGAUUUUUCAAAGAACUAAAAAUCAAAUUAUCAUUUCAUCCAGCAACCUCACUACUGGGUAUCUACCUAAAAGAAAAUAAAUUAUUAUAUAAAAAGAUAUCUGCACUCAUAUGUUUAUCACAGCACUAUUCACAAUAGGAAAGAUACAGAACUAACCUAUAUGUAUAUGUGGUAUAUACAUAUUCCAUGGUAUGUAUAUACCACAUUUUCUUUAUCCAAUCAUACAUUGAUGGCAUUCCAACCAUACAUGGUUGUCCAUUUUUAUGGCUCAUAUAUCUUUCCUACCAUCUUUGAACUCAUAAAGCUGAAUGAAAAAAUCAAUACAUUUCCUUCAAUGUCAGAAAAUUCUGUGCUCAAUUAACAGUCAAAAUAUUAUCUUACAAAUAAGAAUAUCUCUAUAUACUGCCAUGGAGUGAAUUCCAGGAUUUUUUGAAAAGUUAAGAAAAUAAAGUAGAUAGAACUAACUGUAUAUAAAAUUUUAACACUACCUACAUGGAGGGAUAUAUGGUACAGUGGUACAUACCUGUUGUCCCAGCUACUCAAGAGGCUGAGAUAGAAGGAUAGCUUGAGCCUAGAAGUUUGAGACCAGUCUGGGCAACAUAGAGAGAUCCUGUCUCUUAAGAAAAAAAAAGUCAAUAUUACUUACAAGUAAGUAGACCAUGAGGACUCUGCCUUCAUGAAUGGAUUAAUGCUGUUAUCAAUUACUCAGUCUUAGGUAUUCUGUUACAGCAGCAAAAAGUGGACUAAGACACUGAAUACCAAGUUGACGGCUUAAUCACUAGAGAACAAUUAUCUCAAGUUACAUUAAAAUUUGGUAAUUUGACUGUGUAGAUGAUGGAAUAUACACCCUAAGGGCCAAAAAACAAAAACAAAGCCCACAAGUAAAAUUCAAACUGUUUUCAGUUAUCACAUUGUUAGUAAUAAAACAGGAAUUGAGAUUCUGAAAUAGGAAUAGAAAGAUUGAGAUACAUACACACACACACACACACACACAGAGGAAUGACAAAGCAAAUAAGUAAUUACAUUGAUGUGACUGAUAUUCAGCAUAGGGACCCAGGUAAAAUCAAAAAAUGUCCUACAAACAAUAAACAACCCCAGGAUCAGUGAACACUUUUC
This 1553-nucleotide long non-coding RNA is filed under the name Homo sapiens (human). RNAcentral describes it as "non-protein coding lnc-FOXQ1-2:1". Lineage: Eukaryota; Metazoa; Chordata; Mammalia; Primates; Hominidae. The record is from RNAcentral.